RNAcentral lists this ribosomal RNA (334 nucleotides) under unidentified eubacterium clone EH-3. RNAcentral describes it as "bacterial SSU rRNA". It matches the Rfam family "Bacterial small subunit ribosomal RNA", at positions 32 to 362 of the family's 1533-position model. The record is from RNAcentral. Lineage: Bacteria; Pseudomonadati; Pseudomonadota; Gammaproteobacteria.
AACGCUGGCGGCAUGCCUAACACAUGCAAGUCGAACGGAAACGAUGGGAGCUUGCUCCCAGGCGUCGAGUGGCGGACGGGUGAGUAAUACUUAGGAAUCUGCCCAUUAGUGGGGGACAACUAGAAGAAAUUCUAGCUAAUACCGCAUACGCCCUACGGGGGAAAGCGGAGGACCUUUCGGGGCUUCGCGCUAAUGGAUGAGCCUAAGUCGGAUUAGCUUGUUGGUGAGGUAAUGGCUCACCAAGGCGACGAUCCGUAGCUGGUCUGAGAGGACGAUCAGCCACACUGGGACUGAGACACGGCCCAGACUCCUACGGGAGGCAGCAGUGGGGAAU